UACGGGGGGGGCAAGUGUUCUUCGGAAUGACUAGGCGUAAAGGGCACGUAGGCGGUUAAUCGGGUUGAAAGUGAAAGUCGCCAAAAACCGGCGGAAUGCUCUCGAAACCAAUUAACUUGAGUGCAGUAGAGGAGAGUGGAACUCCAUGUGUAGCGGUGAAAUGCGUAGAUAUAUGGAAGAACACCAGAGGCGAAGGCGGCUCUCUGGACUGUAACUGACGCUGAGGCUCGAAAGUGUGGGUAGCAAACAG
Molecule: ribosomal RNA, 250 nt
Filed under: uncultured bacterium
Lineage: Bacteria
Description: partial 16S ribosomal RNA
Rfam family: Bacterial small subunit ribosomal RNA
Source: RNAcentral